CAAACGGGUGCGGAACACGUACACAACUUUCCUUUAAGUGGGGGAUAGCCCAGAGAAAUUUGGAUUAAUACCCCGUAAUAUUAUGAAGUGGCAUCAUUUUACAAUUAUAGCUCCGGCGCUUGAAGAUGGGUGUGCGGCUGAUUAGGUAGUUGGCGGGGUAACGGCCCACCAAGCCUACGAUCAGUAACUGGUGUGAGAGCACGACCAGUCACACGGGCACUGAGACACGGGCCCG
Molecule: ribosomal RNA, 235 nt
Filed under: uncultured bacterium
Lineage: Bacteria
Description: partial 16S ribosomal RNA
Rfam family: Bacterial small subunit ribosomal RNA
Source: RNAcentral